GAUGAACGCUGGCGGCGUGCCUAAUACAUGCAAGUCGAGCGAGCGGACGAGAAGCUUGCUUCUCUGAUGUUAGCGGCGGACGGGUGAGUAACACGUGGAUAACCUACCUAUAAGACUGGGAUAACUUCGGGAAACCGGAGCUAAUACCGGAUAAUAUUUUGAACCGCAUGGUUCAAAAGUGAAAGACGGUCUUGCUGUCACUUAUAGAUGGAUCCGCGCUGCAUUAGCUAGUUGGUAAGGUAACGGCUUACCAAGGCAACGAUGCAUAGCCGACCUGUGAGGGUGAUCGGCCACACUGGAACUGAGACACGGUCCAGACUCCUACGGGAGGCAGCAGUAGGGAAUCUUCCGCAAUGGGCGAAAGCCUGACGGAGCAACGCCGCGUGAGUGAUGAAGGUCUUCGGAUCGUAAAACUCUGUUAUUAGGGAAGAACAUAUGUGUAAGUAACUGUGCACAUCUUGACGGUACCUAAUCAGAAAGCCACGGCUAACUACGUG
Molecule: ribosomal RNA, 497 nt
Filed under: uncultured bacterium
Lineage: Bacteria
Description: partial 16S ribosomal RNA
Rfam family: Bacterial small subunit ribosomal RNA
Source: RNAcentral